RNAcentral lists this long non-coding RNA (2074 nucleotides) under Homo sapiens (human). RNAcentral's name for it is "HSALNT0043577". Lineage: Eukaryota; Metazoa; Chordata; Mammalia; Primates; Hominidae. The record is from RNAcentral.
AAGAAUGUGUAACCAGUACUGGUUACAGUAUUUGUGAGGCCCCGUGCAAAAUGAAAACACAGGGCCCUUGUUUUGAAAUCUGGGGAAAAGUGCCAUUAAAGAUACUUAAAGCUUGACUUGUCAUGGUGUUGUUUGUUAUUUAAUGCUGGUCUAAGUGAAGAAAAAUUAAAAAUUUAAAUUAUUGGCAUAAUUUUUAAAAACCAUUCAUCUUUAUAUUAUGGAAUGCCAGUUUUAAAUGCAAAACUGUAUUUAGAACCACUGAUAUAAUAUAAUUUGUAUUUUGUAGCUUGUGCAUGCAUAUGUAUUUUGUUCUUACCAGAACACUGGAAAUGAUGCAAAAAACCUAACAACUGUUUUUUAUUCCACUUUUUGAUACAUGCCUGUUCUACCAACACUCUGUGGAAGCCAGUGGCUCCCAUAAAAUGUUUAUCUAUUUGCUUCCGUCUUGCUGAUCUCCCAUGCUGGGUCCACUGGAAUUCUCUGCUCAUGGAACAUCAGAAGGCUGUAUGCAAAUGAGGUGGCAAGGAACACCAUACAAACAUAUUGUGCAUAUUGUUCGUGCACAAAAUGUUUCUUUGGGCUUCACUUACAAAACAAGUUUAAGAUAACAUUAUUAUGAAUUUCAAGAUGGUGACCGCAGAGCAUUAAACCAACCAUGAGACACUUCUGACCGUGGGACUCUGUGACUGUGCACAUCAUGCACCCUUGAAACCAGCUCUGCAUGUCACCAAGGAUGCAAAGGAGGAUGCUGGGGAGAUAACAGUGGAAGAUACACCACCACCACCACCAUCAUCAUCCUGCCAUCUAAUAUCCCAUUAGAAGGAUAGCCACAUUUCCCCCUGGCCUGGUAAAUCAUUCAGCCCAUUCACUUGGACAAAGUACUUAAUCCAGAGUGAGACCAUGCAAGCAAGGACAAUUAUAAUUCUUCCCUGAAAUGAAUACAGCAUAAGGAAGUUGGAAGAGAGUAACUCUCUUUACUGUUGGGUUGCCAAGCCUGGAAGAUGUCAAGUUGGUGCUGCUGGCUGCUAUUUUUCCUGCCAUCUGAGAGAAGGCAUGUCUUCAGUUAAAAAGAAUAAAGCUGAACAGAGAUGAGAGAUAGAGAGCUGAAGGACUAAGGUAUUGGUUCCUAGAACCCUCCAUUCUGUUCUGUGAAUUAUUUCUGUAUCUUUUCUUCCACUAUGGAGCAAUAAAAUUAAACUUUCUUAAGCUGAGUUCUAUUGUGUAUUUUUUUUUAUAACUUGCAACCAGAAAAGUCCUAAUACAGUUCCUGUAACUGUAGAUAAGACAUUACCACCAGCAGCAAAGAGCAGGCAAUAGAUAGAGUAAAAAGAUUCAGCUCCCUACAAUAUGGUAAAGCUAUGAAAAUGAGGCAACAUAUAGGCUCAAGGUGGAAGAAUAUUUUGGAAAUUUAGCAUCCUAAUAUCUUUUGAAAAGCAGUUAAUAUUUGAAUAAUCUAGGUCCACUACAAUCAAUAUUGCAGGUAUUUCCCAAAGCAUGGUCAAAUAUGCCAUAGUUUAUGUGACAGUGUGCUAGCCUAAAAUAGGGGGUAAGAACAGAAAGCAAGAAAAAGGUAAGAAUGUAACAGUCCUGAGUUGGUUAUAAUUUCUUAGGAAUUAUAAGGGGAGGAAAGGAGUUGAGGGAUAUAAGGAUGAAUGACUGUCACAUUUAUCUACCCUUUUAAAAAUAUCUUUGUAAACCUUAUAUAUUAGAUUGCUUAUAGUUGUCUACAGUUUGUUUCUAAAGCAGUAAAGACUAUUAACAGAGGAACUUAAGGCACUGAAGCAUAACAUUGUUACAGAUAUGGUUUGGAUUCGUAUCCCUGCUCAAAUCUCAUGUACAAUUGGAGAAGAGGCCUGGUGGGAGGUGAUGGGAUCAUGGGGGCAGAUUUCCCCCUUGCUGUUCUCGUGAUAGUGAGUUUUCACGAGAUCUGAUCCUUUAAAGGUGUGUGGCACUUCUCCCUUCUCUUUCUCUUCCUCCUGCUCCACCAUGGCAAGACAUGCUUGCUUCCCCUUUGCCUUCCACCAUGAUUGUAAGUUUCCUGAGGCCUCCCAGCCACGCUUCCUGUUCAGCCUGC